AAGUCAAUCCCCUCAACUUGAGUGUCACCCCUUAUGACCAAUCUGGCCUUAUACCUUUCAACAGUGCCAUCUGCCUUAUAUUUGAUUUUGUAAACCCAUUUGCAACCAAUAGGCUUCUUACCAGGAGGAAGAAGAACAACAUCCCAAGUUUGGUUUGUGUCCAAGGUUUAAAACUCCUGCCUCAUGGCAGCUCGCCAAGCUGGAACAGAUGCUGCCUGAGAAUAGUAUUGAGGUUCAACUUCCAAAGAGGAGGAAGAAGAGCCAGAGAAAGCAGGAAGUUGGCAUACAUAUUGAGGUUCAACUUCCAAAGAGGAGGAAGAAGAGCCAGAGAAAGCAGGAAGUUGGCACACAUAAUCCUUAAGGUAGGAAGGAGGAUUAUGAAUUCUGCUAGAUUUCCUAAGAGCUGGAACAGAAAUAGUAUCCAAGAUAGGAACAGAAGAAGGUGGAUGGACAGGUGAAUCAGAAGCAGAAGGAGAGGAAGGAAUAGGUGAAUCAAUAUAUUACUCCUAACACCCAUAUACACCUCAUUUAAACUCAUCAAAAACUGAAACACCUUGUUAUCAUCACAUUCCUUAACUAUACCUUCCUUAGCAGCACAUGUACAUUGCAUACCAUGAUUGACACACAUAAAAUCAAGCUCAUCCCACACACUUUUCAAUUUAUUAAAAUAGGAAGCAACAUCAGA
RNAcentral lists this long non-coding RNA (685 nucleotides) under Nicotiana benthamiana. Its description in RNAcentral is "long non-coding RNA (NBEN_LNC033093)". The record is from RNAcentral. Lineage: Eukaryota; Viridiplantae; Streptophyta; Magnoliopsida; Solanales; Solanaceae.